This 253-nucleotide ribosomal RNA is filed under the name uncultured bacterium. Its description in RNAcentral is "partial 16S ribosomal RNA". It matches the Rfam family "Bacterial small subunit ribosomal RNA", at positions 524 to 776 of the family's 1533-position model. The record is from RNAcentral.
CACGUAGGAGGCGAGCGUUGUCCGGAAUCAUUGGGCGUAAAGAGCGCGCAGGCGGCUUGGCAAGUCGGGUGUGAAAUCCCGGGGCUCAACCCCGGGACUGCAUUCGAUACUGUCAGGCUAGAGGUAGGUAGGGGAGAUCGGAAUUCCUGGUGUAGCGGUGAAAUGCGCAGAUAUCAGGAGGAACACCGGUGGCGAAGGCGCCGCUCUGGGCCGUAACUGACGCUGAGGAGCGAAAGCAUGGGUAGCAAACAGG